GACGGAAGGUGCAAGCGUUGCUCGGAAUCACUGGGCGUAAAGGGUGCGUAGACGGCCGUGCAAGUCUGGCGUGAAAGCCCCGGGCUCAGCCCGGGAAGUGCGCUCGAAACUGCGCGGCUCGAGUGCCGGAGGGGAGAGUGGAAUUCCUGGUGUAGCGGUGAAAUGCGUAGAUAUCAGGAGGAAUACCGGUGGCGAAAGCGACUCUCUGGACGGCAACUGACGCUGAGGCACGAAGGCCAGGGGAGCAAACGGG
This 253-nucleotide ribosomal RNA is filed under the name uncultured bacterium. Its description in RNAcentral is "partial 16S ribosomal RNA". It matches the Rfam family "Bacterial small subunit ribosomal RNA", at positions 524 to 776 of the family's 1533-position model. The record is from RNAcentral.